This 392-nucleotide ribosomal RNA is filed under the name Xanthomonas oryzae pv. oryzae. Its description in RNAcentral is "eukaryotic LSU rRNA". It matches the Rfam family "Eukaryotic large subunit ribosomal RNA", at positions 19 to 407 of the family's 3401-position model. The record is from RNAcentral. Lineage: Bacteria; Pseudomonadati; Pseudomonadota; Gammaproteobacteria; Lysobacterales; Lysobacteraceae.
GGAUACCCGCUGAACUUAAGCAUAUCAAUAAGCGGAGGAAAAGAAACCAACAGGGAUUGCCUCAGUAACGGCGAGUGAAGCGGCAACAGCUCAAAUUUGAAAUCUGGAGUCUUUCGGCUUCCGAGUUGUAAUUUGAAGAGGAUGUUUCGGUGCGACCUGGGCCUAAGUUCCUUGGAACAGGACGUCAUGGAGGGUGAGAAUCCCGUACAUGGCUGCAGGUUUGCUUCUAUGUGAAACUCCUUCGAAGAGUCGAGUUGUUUGGGAAUGCAGCUCAAAAUGGGUGGUAAAUUUCAUCUAAAGCUAAAUAUUGGCGGGAGACCGAUAGCGCACAAGUAGAGUGAUCGAAAGAUGAAAAGCACUUUGAAAAGAGAGUUAAACAGUACGUGAAAUUG